This 574-nucleotide ribosomal RNA is filed under the name uncultured bacterium. RNAcentral describes it as "bacterial SSU rRNA". It matches the Rfam family "Bacterial small subunit ribosomal RNA", at positions 352 to 916 of the family's 1533-position model. The record is from RNAcentral.
CAGUGAGGAAUAUUGCGCAAUGGGGGAAACCCUGACGCAGCGACGCCGCGUGGGUGAGGAAGGCUUUCGGGUCGUAAAGCUCUGUCAGAAGGGAAGAAGUGCUUAUAGGCUAAUACCUUGUAAGUUUGACGGUACCUUCAAAGGAAGCACCGGCUAACUCCGUGCCAGCAGCCGCGGUAAUACGGAGGGUGCAAGCGUUGUUCGGAAUCACUGGGCGUAAAGGGCGCGUAGGCGGCUUGGUAAGUCAGAUGUGAAAGCCCACGGCUUAACCGUGGAAGUGCAUUUGAAACUGCUUGGCUUGAGUAUCAGAGGGGAAAGUGGAAUUCCCGGUGUAGAGAUGAAAUUCGUAGAUAUCGGGAGGAAUACCGGUGGCGAAGGCGACUUUCUGGCUGAAUACUGACGCUGAGGCGCGAAAGCGUGGGGAGCAAACAGGAUUAGAUACCCUGGUAGUCCACGCCGUAAACGAUGUCAACUAGGUGCAGGGGGUGUUGAUCCCCUCUGUGUCGCAGCUAACGCAUUAAGUUGACCGCCUGGGGAGUACGGUCGCAAGAUUAAAACUCAAAGGAAUUGACGG